UUCUCAGUCCACAAACAGUGCUGUUCGU
RNAcentral lists this small RNA (28 nucleotides) under Bombyx mori (domestic silkworm). RNAcentral describes it as "piRNA piR-bmo-2050197". The record is from RNAcentral. Lineage: Eukaryota; Metazoa; Arthropoda; Insecta; Lepidoptera; Bombycidae.